RNAcentral lists this long non-coding RNA (717 nucleotides) under Homo sapiens (human). Its description in RNAcentral is "HSALNT0370442". The record is from RNAcentral. Lineage: Eukaryota; Metazoa; Chordata; Mammalia; Primates; Hominidae.
CUCUCUGUCUCUCCUGCCACCAUGUGAAGAAGGUGCUUGUUUCCCCUUUGCCUUCCGCCAUGAGUGUAAGUUUCCUGAGGUCUCCCAGUCAUACUGCUGGUUAAGCCUGCAGAACGGCUGGUCUUGAACUCCCAGCCUCAAGCCAUCCUCCCGCCUUGGCCUUUCAAAGUGCUGGAUUACAAGCGUGAGCCACCGUGCACAGCCAAGACACAAUUUUAAAUCGAGCGGUCAGGAAGCCUCCUGGAGAAAAUGACGUUUGAACAAAGACAUGAAGAAAGUGGAGAAUAUUUGGAGAAAAGCAUUUCAGGCAGAGGAAAGUGCCAGGGCAGAGGCCCCGAGGCAGGAGGAAGCAACAGAAAACAGGGAAGCAGGUGUCCCAGGAGGAGCCCAAUGCCAUGGAAAGAUGGGAAAAGAGGUGGUGGAUGAGAUCCUGGAUUCUUAUAAACUUUAUCUACUCCACUUGCACAGAUGAUGGAGGAUUUGAGGAGUGUCAGUGAAUGCUCUGUGUGGACUGAACUUGGAGCAGACUGGGGCUGGAACUCUCCAGGGAGGGCAACUUUGACCGAGACAUCUUAGGGUUUGCCAAGUCCUCAGCAGAUGUUUUUUGAUGUGCCUUGAGAUCCUCAAAUGAGAAGGGCAGUGGGAUUCUUCCCUCUCCAGCCAGGACCACAUCUGUGCUUUUCUGUAAUUGUGUAAAAAAAAAAAAAAAAAAAAAAA